CAACUUUCAACAACGGAUCUCUUGGCUCUCGCAUCGAUGAAGAACACAGCA
Molecule: ribosomal RNA, 51 nt
Filed under: Russula australirosea
Lineage: Eukaryota; Fungi; Basidiomycota; Agaricomycetes; Russulales; Russulaceae
Description: partial 5.8S ribosomal RNA
Rfam family: 5.8S ribosomal RNA
About the family: 5.8S ribosomal RNA (5.8S rRNA) is a component of the large subunit of the eukaryotic ribosome.
Source: RNAcentral